This 253-nucleotide ribosomal RNA is filed under the name uncultured bacterium. RNAcentral describes it as "partial 16S ribosomal RNA". It matches the Rfam family "Bacterial small subunit ribosomal RNA", at positions 524 to 776 of the family's 1533-position model. The record is from RNAcentral.
UACGUAGGGGGCAAGCGUUGUCCGGAUUUAUUGGGCGUAAAGCGCGUGUAGGCGGCCAGAUAGGUCUGCUGUGAAAACUCGAGGCUCAACCUCGAGCUGUCGGCGGAAACCAUCUGGCUAGAGUCCGGAAGAGGAGAGUGGAAUUCCUGGUGUAGCGGUGAAAUGCGCAGAGAUCGGCAGGAACACCCAGGGGGAAACCAGCCGACUGGGCAUCUGCUGACGCUGAUGUGCGAGAGCGUGGGGAGCGAAUCGG